Molecule: ribosomal RNA, 403 nt
Filed under: uncultured bacterium
Lineage: Bacteria
Description: partial 16S ribosomal RNA
Rfam family: Bacterial small subunit ribosomal RNA
Source: RNAcentral
UGGGGAAUAUUGGGCAAUGGGCGCAAGCCUGACCCAGCAACGCCGCGUGAGGGAUGAAGGUCUUCGGAUUGUAAACCUCUGUUGUAGAUGACGAAGAAUGACGGUAAUCUACCAGCAAGCCCCGGCAAACUAUGUGCCAGCAGCCGCGGUAAUACAUAGGGGGCGAGCGUUGUCCGGAAUUACUGGGCGUAAAGGGAGCGUAGGCGGUUAGGUAAGUUGUAUGUGAAAACCCUGGGCUUAACUCAGGACCUGCAUACAAAACUGUCUGACUAGAGUGUGGGAGGGGAGAGUGGAAUUCCUAGUGUAGCGGUGGAAUGCGUAGAUAUUAGGAGGAACACCAGUGGCGAAGGCGACUCUCUGGACCAUAACUGACGCUGAGGCUCGAAAGCGUGGGGAGCAAACA